Non-coding RNA from Peromyscus maniculatus bairdii (prairie deer mouse), 122 nucleotides. Lineage: Eukaryota; Metazoa; Chordata; Mammalia; Rodentia; Cricetidae. The record is from RefSeq and is a predicted model, not a curated record.
AAGGCGAUCGAGGUUUCACCUUCACAGCUUCACACAAUGGCCUCCCUGGGACUUCAUUCAGGGAUGCCCCUGGAACACACCUGGCCUCAGUGGCUUUCCUUAGAUGAGAAGGGAAGAGCACA